GCCCGGGUGGCGAAACAGGUAGACGCAAAGGAUUUAAAAUCCUUCGGUGGGUAACUGCCGUGCCGGUUCGACUCCGGCCCCGGGCACCA
RNAcentral lists this transfer RNA (89 nucleotides) under Gammaproteobacteria bacterium. Its description in RNAcentral is "tRNA-Leu". It matches the Rfam family "tRNA". Rfam says of the family: Transfer RNA (tRNA) molecules are approximately 80 nucleotides in length. The record is from RNAcentral. Lineage: Bacteria; Pseudomonadati; Pseudomonadota; Gammaproteobacteria.